Molecule: long non-coding RNA, 564 nt
Filed under: Setaria italica (foxtail millet)
Lineage: Eukaryota; Viridiplantae; Streptophyta; Magnoliopsida; Poales; Poaceae
Description: long non-coding RNA (SITA_LNC003670)
Source: RNAcentral
UACACUCGGCAAACUAUAGGGUUUGCCGAGUGUCUUUUCACACACUCGGCAAACAUAAUUUUUUUUCCCCUCCUUCACCCUCCAAACUUUUUACACUCCACAUGUAUGGCAUUUGGCACUGCAUGGUAGAAGAUGGACUAUUUUUUGACCUGUUUGCUAUAUUUAAUCAAUUAAUUUCAUUUGGAGUAAUUUUUUGAUUUAAGUCAAAUUUGAACUGCAGGUGGUUGGAAUAAUGGAAUAAUAUGAGUGAAAAAAUCAUAUUCAUGUUAGUGAGUCUAAAUUGAGGUCUCACCCAGAAAACGAAAAGAAAUUUCGAACAUGUUGCUAAGGAAACACGACUACGAACGUGUGGCCAAAUGAUUGUUUAAUUCUCAAAAAUACAAACGAAGUUUGAAAAUCAUGAGAUUUUGCAAGAUGCUUUGAUUUCGUAUGCAGAGGCCGUGGUAAAAAAUUGAUAAGGUUUCGCACAAGUUUUGACAUAUGAUGUUUACAAUUCGAAGCAUCUCCGGAGAGGUUUCAGAGAAGUUCAAAGGAUCCGGUAAGAUUUUGAGAUGAAUCGAUAAA